ACAUUGCUGGUCCAUGGAGACCCACUGCUUGACAUUCUGCUACAGUUUUUUGUUUGUUUGUUUGUUUGUUUUUCCUUUUUGUGCUUCCCCUACCAACUGCUUUCAUCUAUUGUCCUUCAUCUUACACUGCAAACGUAAAUUCCUGAGGGAAAGGCUGUCCUUUUCCCUCUGCUUUUACAGCACCUAGCCAAUGGCUCCUGGUUUAUGCCUGGAGCUCCCUGACACCACGUAAAUACAAAUAGCAACAAGAAAUAAGGGAACUCCUUACCACAUGUGUGUCAGGAAUGCAGAAACAUGGACAGGCAUCCAAGGAGAAAUAGAGAAGAAUUUCCUGAAUACACAGGACAGAAUUAAGAAGGCCAAUAAAUGGCUAGAGCUGUAAUUGAUGAAGGACAUCAAAGAUAACAGGAAAGGCUUCUACAGGCUAAAUUUGGCUUGGAAGACAUCAGUGAAUGAAAGUCUGUCCAGAACUUCAUGUCUCCUUGUUUAUGAGGACUCUCCACCUGUCAGACGAAGGAAUCAGAACACUUUGGUGUGUCACUUAAGUGCCAGUUUGUGGGAAGAGAGUCACUGGGAAGACCUCAACUUCAACCCACAAUCAAUUUCCAUUUCAGCACAGUAAUGGUGACACAAUUAAAAAUAGGAAGCUGACCCUCUGAAAAUGU
Molecule: long non-coding RNA, 665 nt
Organism: Cygnus olor (mute swan)
Lineage: Eukaryota; Metazoa; Chordata; Aves; Anseriformes; Anatidae
Exons: 3
Source: RefSeq, a predicted model, not a curated record